RNAcentral lists this transfer RNA (57 nucleotides) under Yarrowia lipolytica. Its description in RNAcentral is "partial transfer RNA". Lineage: Eukaryota; Fungi; Ascomycota; Dipodascomycetes; Dipodascales. The record is from RNAcentral.
CAGGAUCGAACUGCCGACGUUCUGCGUGUUAAGCAGAUGCCAUGACCAACUAGACCA